GUGAAUCAUCGAAUCUUUGAACGCACAUUGCGCCCUUUGGUAUUCCGAAGGGCAUGCCUGUUCGAGCGUCAUUAUCACCCCUCAAGCCCCGUGCUUGGUGUUGGACGGCCGGUCGAGCGAAUCGACCCCUCCUAAAGACAAUGACGGCGGCCUGUGGUUCCCCCGGUACACUGAGCUUCUCACCGAGCACGUAUCGGACCAGGGCACCCGGGUUCCGGUCCCCUCCUUUCACAAGGAAAUUUCUAUGGUUGACCUCGGAUCAGGUAGGAAUACGCGCUGAACUUAAGCAUAUCAAUAAGC
This 300-nucleotide unclassified non-coding RNA is filed under the name uncultured Cladophialophora. RNAcentral describes it as "sequence contains 5.8S rRNA gene, ITS2". The stretch from base 1 to 71 matches the Rfam family "5.8S ribosomal RNA", at positions 84 to 154 of the family's 154-position model. The record is from RNAcentral. Lineage: Eukaryota; Fungi; Ascomycota; Eurotiomycetes; Chaetothyriales; Herpotrichiellaceae.